ACGGGAUGCUUGUGCGGGAGCCCGGGAGCGCGGAGGCAGAGGGUUGGAAAAGCGAGCGCUGACAGCCAUCAUGUGACCCAGCUGUCAGUGUGUGCCACCUGGAGCCGCCAUCCGCCACCACCAAUCCCAGCGCCGCCGCCGACCCCUGCGCACCAUUUCACCACUAGAAGAAAGGCCUUUAAAUGUUUAACUACACGGGGUCUCGUUUGCAUGCGUGCUGGGAAGGGGGAAGAGGUGCCUACGGCUACCGAUGCCUGCUGCCUGCCUUUGCAUCGCUGGAUCUCAGCUCUGCAGCGUGUUUGCAGGCUAAGUAAAACCAGCUCCGUUCCGGGUAUCACAGCAGCACCCACUCCCCCCUCCCCAUCGGCUCCUAUAAGAACAAAGAAAGCACUGUAUGCCCUGCAAGGCCUCAUUAGUAUUACAAGUGAAGCAUCAGGAACAUGCACGACAACUGGAUGGCAAUAUAUAGGAUUGCCCGUUCCACUGCGCCCUGCAACACAACGCUUCGGGCUAUCGAUGACUCCCCGGUAUCACGAAGCGGGUGAGCUGACACGCUUGUUCACGGCCUCUGGUCCCGGGACCCAACAACCCCAACAGCCCGGAUGAUGUUUUGCCACCCAGGAUGGAUUCCACCGGGGAACACCGAGCUCCCUCUUCGGCUACGCAUCUGCUGGAUUGCGUUCAGGGAGAAAUCCUUAAUCUAUUGACACAACAGUAGUUUUGCUGCUGACUGACAAGAAAGGUAACCUGAUGCGUAUUAAAGACAAGUGCUUUGAAAGCAGACCCAGCCUCCAUCCAACAACUGACCAGGAAAAAUACUGGAAGGAAUUUCUCUUCAAAUAGAGACAGACUCAGAGCGUAUGGAGAGUAAGUAGCGUUUUAGCCAGAUCAGUGAAUAUUUAUUGCUUGAGGAAGGACUUCAGAUACUCAAUGUUGGUUCAAACACACUGUCACCAUUCCCACAUCCAAGAAAAUACUCAGGCCUCUAAGAUUAAGCAUCAACAAUCCUCUUCUCUAGGCAUAUAUCCAGGCACAGUGAACAUCCUAUAUACUGAUCUGGAACUGCGGAGGUAGGGUUUUAAAAACAUCUGAUUCUAAAUUUCUGAGGACAGUGGGAUAUUCUGGUCACACCAGUAUGUACCUAUGGUAUUUCACCUAUGCCGUGAAAGCUUUAUGGGGUUUGCAACAGGCCUACAGCAUCUAUCGUUGAAAGGUAUCUCCAGAAAAACAGCUUCCCCCCCAGUUCCAAAAGAAGUCCCUCAUUUACCACCUCAGCGGUAUUUGGCUUUGGCAGAGAACAUGAUACUCUCCACCUCUUUGAAAGGGUGCAGGCUCUUCUUGUGCGCGUGCAUGUGUGUAAAUUUGAACUUGGAAAACAAAGCUGAUAUAAUACUCUCUAGCUUCAGAAAAAUACUUUAAAAGUUCAAUAAAUAAAGGGAUCACAGUCUCCUGCCUUAGCCCAUCACCUUCCAGAGAGAUCUGGGGAGGGCACUUCAGUACCCACACACAUCCACGCGAUCGCAGGUGGGAAAGAUGCAGGUGAUGGUGUCCAGCCGCACGGACAGCCGAUGGACACUCCAGCCAAGGGGUUCUGUGCAGACCCCGAUGCCAGACUGGGGCUGUGGCUCGGUCUUAAACAUAUAUAAGCCACAAAAAAAAAAAAAUCCUCAAAACAAGAGAGCACUGAAAAAAAGCUACUUUCUUCGUUUUAUCCAACGGCAUGUCUGAAAACCUUUAUAAUUACUGGAAAGGCUCAUAUGUACCUUUUGGGUAUAAAUUAUCUGAUUUUAAACUGAGGAGACAACAGUUGGCUCCAACCACAAACUAAAAAAGUAAUGAAAUGAUUCAUUUUUGUUCUCCACUGCCUUAACGAGUUUUUUUAGUCUUUCUCUUGAAAGAAGGCUUCCCUCACCCAUGUUGUGAACACAUACAACAAAGAGCCAGUAAGCAAGCCAAGAAAUGUUUAUUGCUUAGUAAUGCACGAAGGUAGGAGCUGGAAGCCACACUACACAAAAAAAGAGAAAACCAAUUAGGAUUUUAUUUGAAAUCUGACUGGGAAUACUUGGAUACCAUUUCCCUACAAAAUACUCACCUUAGUAGGUUUACCACUGAGCUAGACUUUUUAAAAAAAAGUGCUUUUGUGCAUUUUUGUAUCCCUGUAAAAAAAAUUCCACUGAAUUCCUCACUGCUGGCGAGGAAGAGCAGACAGUAUCGAAACAUAAACCUUCCGUAUACACUGGAGCACACACACAUACCUGCGCGCACAAACAUCAGCCCAGCCAGAGGUCAGCAAGAGCCAAAACGAUGAGAAAGAUCCCUGCAAGGAAGCUGCAGGAUUUCCAAAACCUAGGCCCCAUUUUCUUUAAAGAAAACCAGAUUUUUAAACACUGAAACAAGUGCUUUUCAUAUGCUAUACAACAACAACAAAAGACAACAGAGAAGCAAAGUUUAUAAACUCUCCAAACACAGGAUUCUCACUGGCAGCGAGAGGUCUCAGGACUGGAACGAACCGUCUCUAUGGGGGGGUGUAAAAGAGCGUCAGCGUAAACACGGAUCUGCCUAGGAGCAUGCCUGGAGGGUGCGACACGGAACGUUAUCUUUCAAGAACGGGGAUGCUGAGACCUCAGCAGAUGGACUGUCCCUUCCCUGUUGUAAUUUCUCAAGUCAUGAUAAAAGAUGCUUAAAAUAAAAAUAACUACCAAAGUAAAAAUCUGAUGCAUGGUUAAGCCACUGGAACAUUGGUGUUUGUUUUGUAUCGCAUUCCCAAUUGCAAUCUACUAUAAAUAAGACACCGAACAAACCUCCAUAAUACCAACUGGUACUGCAAGACAACAGGGCAUUUUCCCCCUGCCAAACAGUUAUUUUAUUGUGCGCUCUCGGGUGUGCAGAGCAGAAUGAUCUUUUGCUGUAGCUAUUAAAAAUAAAGUGUAAGUAGUCCA
Non-coding RNA from Phalacrocorax carbo (great cormorant), 2939 nucleotides. NCBI's taxonomy places the organism in Eukaryota, Metazoa, Chordata, Aves, Suliformes, Phalacrocoracidae. The record is from RefSeq and is a predicted model, not a curated record.